ACACGACUCUCGGCAACGGAUAUCUAGGCUCUCGCAUCGAUGAAGAACGUAGCAAACUGCGAUACUUGGUGUGAAUUGCAGAAUCCCGUGAACCAUCGAGUCUUUGAACGCAAGUUGCGCCCGAAGCCAUUANGCCGAGGGCACGUCUGCCUGGGCGUCACGC
RNAcentral lists this ribosomal RNA (163 nucleotides) under Hoya meliflua. Its description in RNAcentral is "5.8S ribosomal RNA". It matches the Rfam family "5.8S ribosomal RNA". From Rfam's summary of the family: 5.8S ribosomal RNA (5.8S rRNA) is a component of the large subunit of the eukaryotic ribosome. It is transcribed by RNA polymerase I as part of the 45S precursor that also contains 18S and 28S rRNA. The record is from RNAcentral. Lineage: Eukaryota; Viridiplantae; Streptophyta; Magnoliopsida; Gentianales; Apocynaceae.